AGAUCCUCCAUUGCGAGCCGGGGGCCGGGCCGAGCCGCUGCUGCUCCCCGGCGGGGUCUGUGCGGAGAGAGACCGGCACUAACCCCCCGCUCCGCCCCGGGCUCGGCCCGCAGCAGCCCCCGAGCCGGAGCCCGCAGGGGCCGGUGACCUUCGAGGAGGUGGCUGUGUAUUUCACCCAGGGGCAGGGGGCUCUGCUGGACCCCACUCAGAGAGCCCUCUACAGGGACGUCAUGCAGGAGAACUACGAGACGGGGACCUCGCUGGCAGCCACAACACCUGAAGAAAAGACACCACUUUGAAGUGGGGGAGUGGUCCUGGCUGAAAGGAUUCCAGCCGGCCAGACUGCUAAAGCAUGUGGAAUUAACGGGCUUUAUAUGAGCUUGUGUUGUCCAGGAGGCAAGUCUGGGACUAGGAAUUUGGUGGUGUUACUCUGCAGUGUCAUUCAGGAGUAGCCGGUUAUAGCACUCCUACAAUAAGCUGGAGGCACUGUGCAUGCUUGAAGCCGUGUGUCAGCAGACCAGAAGUGGCUGCCGUCAGACUGAAGCAGUGUAAAGGCAUCCCAGGCUGGAGAAUUGAGGGGACGCAGCUGUUCAACAGUCCAGAUUGCUGUGACAUUACUCAGGGUACAAUGCAAACCGGAGUACCAAGCAAUUAGAAAUAGAGGAAGACUGAGCCUGCGUUGACUAGACAUGGUGAAGAAUGUCAUAGAAUAAAAUGGACUAAAGGGGAUGGAAGCCAUGAUCGGAUAUAAGACAGAAGGUGGUGGGAAGACCAACUGCUGCUGAGCUGGUGGAUGGGAAACAAA
This is a non-coding RNA of Caretta caretta (loggerhead turtle), 805 nucleotides long. The record is from RefSeq and is a predicted model, not a curated record. NCBI's taxonomy places the organism in Eukaryota, Metazoa, Chordata, Testudines, Cheloniidae.